RNAcentral lists this long non-coding RNA (1737 nucleotides) under Triticum aestivum (bread wheat). RNAcentral describes it as "long non-coding RNA (TAES_LNC019741)". Lineage: Eukaryota; Viridiplantae; Streptophyta; Magnoliopsida; Poales; Poaceae. The record is from RNAcentral.
CACUCUAAAUGCAUCUAUAUACAUUCGUAUGUGGUCCAUAGUUGAAUCUCUACAAAGGCUUAUAUUUAGGAACGGAGGGAGUAGUUGGCAUUCAGGACAUAGCUCCUCUAUCCGAAUAAUAACAGUAAAUGAAACAUUCGUCCUGAUAUUCUGAGUGAGCCAAGCCUCGGAGUCAUGAAGUGACCAUUUAAAAAGUUAGUAGGCCAAUCUUCCUUUUCUGUUUGUUCUUUACUGAUAAAGCUAAAAAGUGGUAAAAUAUCUCCACUUGUGUCCUGAAAGUCCUGAGUUCAAAUCAGCCUCUUUGCAGGGAAAAAAAAAGCAAGGGAAAGGCGUCUAGAAAUCCCCUUCCCUGGAACCACAAUGUGUGGGAGCUUUCGGCAGUGGGCACACCCUUACCGAUGCUUAGAAGCGAUGAUGUGUCAUCCGUCAGAAGUGGUAAGCACAUGUUUACAGAGCUCACAUUACAUGUGGUGUGAUCGUUCAGGCGUUUGACACUAACUCGUUUUGGUGUGAUCGUCCAGGUGUUCCUCUCAAUUUGCUCCCAGUUGACGAACCCAUACCCCAAGGAUGUUUUCAAGUCCUAGCACCAAGAUGGGGUCUGAUGGAAAUGGACCGCCAACGGUUGCUACUCCGCGUCGAGCCCCCACUUCAUUCAGUUUGUUGGCAGAACUAAGCCCUGUCUUCCUUGAGCUGAUCUGGCAUGUCACAACAAAUGUGCAUGAUUUAAGCUUUCGAGUCAAAACUUAUGCAAUUUCCAUGCAAGCGGCCCAAGAGUUACUUACUGCCAAGACUCCGCAAGUUUGCUCCAUUCACAGCUUGUUUCUCACGAAUUAAUCCUCUGUUUUUCAGUUUUCCCAAGCCUAUGUGCCUCUAGUAUAAGUAUCCCCACAUCUUCGUUGUGAAAGUGAAUGAGAAUUCUGAAUUUGAGUUUGUAGGCAGUCGGUGGGAUUGUGUGUUUGGGUGCUCUGCUGCAAGCAAGAGAUUCCGUCGAGUGUUAGCCGUUGUGUGGAUCGAAGGGGCUUGUCCUUGAUCCAUAUAGGAUUCAUUUUGGUUACAUUUUGUGAUUCUAACAAAAUUCCACAAGUACCAUGGGUUGGGUUGCCUUGUUGCACACCAAGCUAGUUAUCUGCAGGCUGCAGCAGUAAAUCUGAGAGUGGUUCAUGCUGCUAUGUGCUACUUGAGAGAAAUUAGUUGUUGCUGCCUCUUGAAAGCUCGGUCGCAAUGGUGCCCGACAUCAGGGCUAAACUCUUAGCCGUCUUCGGAUGCACCGCCGAUGUAGAAGGCCUGACAUAUGCGAUGUUGGUUUGUGGAUGGGGGCCGUCGGAGAGGAAGGCUGGAUGGCGCGGCGGGAAGACAGUGGUGAUCGUGCCCUAUGCCCAUGACAUGGCGGUCGCGGUGCUGUGGCGUCCAUUCCCAUUUUUUCAUCUUCUCUACUUUGCUUGGCACUGCGUUUUGUUUCACUUUGAGAAGGGGGACACCAACAAGAAGCAAUUCUCACAGGAACAUCACUCAACUCAACUCUCAUUACUUCCAUCAUAUCCGUAGCACAAUUAACAGUUUAUAACAGGCACACACACACACACACACACACACAUACACACACUUUGCCACGACUCGCAACUGAACUAGACUUUGUGAGUCCAUUUGCCAUUUCCCCUGAAACCAAACCCCGUACGCACGCACCGGCACUAUCACCAUCACGACCUCCUGAAAUCAACCACGAUGUAUAUAUUGAUG